GAAAUGCGAUAAGUAGUGUGAAUUGCAGAAUUCAGUGAAUCAUCGAAUCUUUGAACGCACAUUGCGCCCCUUGGUAUUCCAUGGGGCAUGCCUGUUCGAGCGUCAUUUGUACCCUCAAGCUCUGCUUGGUGUUGGGUGUUUGUCCCGUCUCCGCGCGUGGACUCGCCCCAAAGUGAUUGGCACCCGGCGUACUGGUCCCGGAGCGCAGCACAUGUCGCGCAAACGAGUGCCUUGGUACGGCGGCGUCCAUAAGCCCCUCUCUCACGCUCUUGACCUCGGAUCAGGUAGGGAUACCCGCUGAACUUAAGC
This 309-nucleotide unclassified non-coding RNA is filed under the name plant metagenome. RNAcentral describes it as "partial contains 5.8S ribosomal RNA, internal transcribed spacer 2, and large subunit ribosomal RNA". The stretch from base 1 to 105 matches the Rfam family "5.8S ribosomal RNA", at positions 50 to 154 of the family's 154-position model. The record is from RNAcentral.